CAGCAGCCGCGGUAAUACGGAGGGUGCAAGCGUUAAUCGGAAUUACUGGGCGUAAAGCGUGCGUAGGCGGUUCGUUAAGUCUGUUGUGAAAGCCCCAGGCUCAACCUGGGAAUGGCAAUGGAUACUGGCGAGCUAGAGUGUGUCAGAGGAUGGUGGAAUUCCCGGUGUAGCGGUGAAAUGCGUAGAGAUCGGGAGGAACAUCAGUGGCGAAGGCGGCCAUCUGGGACAACACUGACGCUGAGGCACGAAAGCGUGGGGAGCAAACAGGAUUAGAUACCCCAGUAGUCCCUGUCUCUUAUAC
Molecule: ribosomal RNA, 301 nt
Filed under: uncultured bacterium
Lineage: Bacteria
Description: partial 16S ribosomal RNA
Rfam family: Bacterial small subunit ribosomal RNA
Source: RNAcentral